CCUUGUUCAAACUUACAGCACAUGUCAAUCAUCUCGGUAAAAGUAUGAUUGAAUCUAUUCACUUUAUAUUUUACAAUAAAAUUAGUGAAAUCAUCCGAGAGAGAUGCAAGGAAAAAGUCUUGGGCCAUUUUCCCAUCGAUGGAAGUUCCUAAAGUUUCAAGAUCUUGAAAGAUCCUUUCCAUCUUUUGUCCAUGUUUAUGAACCUAUGCCCCCUUUGCCAUUUUGGCAUUCAAUAGACUACAAACAUUUGAGAAUCAUACAUUACUAGUCUCAAUGUCAUGCAUCUUAUGCAAACUUUCAACCAUGGCACAUGAAGUGUCCAUGUGCUCAUGUUGCUUCAUAAGCUCCUUACUAAGUGAAGUGAGGAUUAAGCAUUUGGCUUGUAAGUCAUCCUCAUAGUGUCUAUCAUAAUUUUGACACUCCUCCUUUGAAGCUAGUUUCGUAGAAGGUACAUGAGGAGAGGAUUGCUUAAGCACAUACAAUAUGUCUAUCACCUUUGAGACAUUCUCAAUAUGGCGAUACCAAGCAAGGAAACGUUGGCCCCUAAGGCCCCUUUUGUCAAGUAUAAUGGUGGGUGUAAUUUUAGG
This 587-nucleotide long non-coding RNA is filed under the name Malus domestica (apple). RNAcentral's name for it is "long non-coding RNA (MDOM_LNC018606)". Lineage: Eukaryota; Viridiplantae; Streptophyta; Magnoliopsida; Rosales; Rosaceae. The record is from RNAcentral.